UCGCUGCCCAGGUUUCCUGUCCUUGAGGACCCGGGCCUGGCGUGCCUGGGACGUCAAUUCGGUGAGGAGCUGUAGAAAUAGAGAAAGGGCCUUUGCUUUCUGUUCAGACUCAUCUUUUCCUCUGCUGCUUUUGGUGACUUCUUGGUGAAACCUGAGGGAAAGGAGACUGCCAAACGACAGCUGGCUACAGAGUCUCUGAGUGGAGCCCAAGAAGUGAUGCUGUGCAGGUUAUUGCUCUAUUGCCGCGCUGUUCCAAAUCCGCCCUUUUUGACUGCACUGUGAGAAUGGAUCUGGGCCCUUUUAAGCAUCUUGUGUUCUCUUCUGGCAUCCAUGAAACAGUGACAGGCCCCACAGACCCUUCACAGAUCCUGAAACUACUCGUCUGCCUAAGAGAAUCACGACACUGUUGGCAUAAUCUUCACCUCCUUAUGCUUUCCCUUCCAUGAAGCUGAGAAAGAGGAUGAGUCAAGUAACAUAAUAAACUUCUGAGAAGGUUUCUCUUAGUAGACUAAGAAGCUAAAAGAUCAAGAUCUGGAAAGAAUAGCAAAUCUCUUAGUGAAAAAACAGCCAAGAAAAUUAUUGCUCUCCUAGCUCAAAGAGAAACAUUAAUUAAAGGUAAGAAACAGGCAAGAAAUAAAAUGGAGAACUUGUAAGAGUAAAUUAUAUUAUAAUUAACACUUAGUAAUUCUAAAUUUUAGAGCAUAACU
RNAcentral lists this long non-coding RNA (707 nucleotides) under Zalophus californianus (California sea lion). RNAcentral's name for it is "lncRNA (ENSZCAG00015002293.1)". Lineage: Eukaryota; Metazoa; Chordata; Mammalia; Carnivora; Otariidae. The record is from RNAcentral.